This 81-nucleotide transfer RNA is filed under the name marine eukaryotic metagenome. RNAcentral's name for it is "Selenocysteine transfer RNA". It matches the Rfam family "Selenocysteine transfer RNA", at positions 12 to 82 of the family's 91-position model. The record is from RNAcentral.
GGUCCCUGGUGGGCCCCGCGGACUUCAAAUCCGUAGCGUCCUGGCAGAUGUCAGGAUGGGUGGGUUCGAUUCCCACACGAU